GCUGAUGUAGCUCAGUCGGUAGAGCGCGUCCUUGGUAAGGACGAGGUCACCGGUUCAAAUCCGGUCAUCAGCUCCA
This 76-nucleotide transfer RNA is filed under the name Candidatus Onthenecus intestinigallinarum. RNAcentral's name for it is "tRNA-Thr". It matches the Rfam family "tRNA". From Rfam's summary of the family: Transfer RNA (tRNA) molecules are approximately 80 nucleotides in length. Their secondary structure includes four short double-helical elements and three loops (D, anti-codon, and T loops). The record is from RNAcentral. Lineage: Bacteria; Bacillati; Bacillota; Clostridia; Eubacteriales.